GGAAUCCAACCCGGCCCCCUGUAUUGGAAGCGCAGAGUCUUGACCACUGGACCACCAGGCAAAUAUCCAAAGGAAUGAGCGUGAUUCAUGAAUUUUUCUCAUUUAAUCUUCAUAACAA
Non-coding RNA from Kogia breviceps (pygmy sperm whale), 118 nucleotides. The record is from RefSeq and is a predicted model, not a curated record. NCBI's taxonomy places the organism in Eukaryota, Metazoa, Chordata, Mammalia, Artiodactyla, Physeteridae.